RNAcentral lists this ribosomal RNA (200 nucleotides) under uncultured bacterium. RNAcentral describes it as "partial 16S ribosomal RNA". It matches the Rfam family "Bacterial small subunit ribosomal RNA", at positions 28 to 234 of the family's 1533-position model. The record is from RNAcentral.
GACGAACGCUGGCGGCGUGGAUUAGGCAUGCAAGUCGCGCGACGACCUUCGGGUACGGAGCGGCGAACGGGUGAGUAACACGUGAGAAACCUACCGCAUCAUUCCGGAUAAUUGAUCGAAAGGUCUUGUAAUACGGGGGAGGUUCGUUGAUGGGCAUCCAUUGACGAACGAACGAGUAAUCGGUGCUGUGAUGGUCUCGC